GGGUCAGUAGGUUGGUCGUGCCACCGGUACGUACUGGUCUCACUGAUUCCUCCUUCCUGAAGAACCGUAAUGCCAUUAAUUUGGUGUUGCGGGGAAACAGGACUGUUACUUUGAAAAAAUUAGAGUGUUUAAAGCAAGCUAACGCUUGAAUACAUUAGCAUGGAAUAAUGAAAUAGGACGAUCGGUCCUAUUUUGUUGGCUUCUAGGAUUGACGUA
RNAcentral lists this ribosomal RNA (216 nucleotides) under Glomeromycotina sp. RNAcentral describes it as "partial small subunit ribosomal RNA". The stretch from base 40 to 216 matches the Rfam family "Eukaryotic small subunit ribosomal RNA", at positions 686 to 864 of the family's 1831-position model. Lineage: Eukaryota; Fungi; Glomeromycota. The record is from RNAcentral.